This is a non-coding RNA of Nothobranchius furzeri (turquoise killifish), 252 nucleotides long. NCBI's taxonomy places the organism in Eukaryota, Metazoa, Chordata, Actinopteri, Cyprinodontiformes, Nothobranchiidae. The record is from RefSeq and is a predicted model, not a curated record.
UCGAGGAGAAGUUUGCGAAAUACCGCUGAAAAUCCAGGUUAAGACUGUUGACGGUGUUCCAGCCAACAAGACGGGACAGAUAUUCCACCUCUACUCCAACACCCAAGGGUUCAUUUGUCGGAAUGACCAGCAGGGUUCUGGCAAGUGUUUGGACUACAAAGUUCGCUUCCAAUGCCAGUGUAACUCCAAGGAACAGGUCUACUGCUGUAAUUGAUGAGACAAACAGAAUAAAAGUUGUGGGUUUUGCCAGCA